RNAcentral lists this ribosomal RNA (123 nucleotides) under Clostridium sp. Its description in RNAcentral is "partial 23S ribosomal RNA". It matches the Rfam family "Bacterial large subunit ribosomal RNA", at positions 2804 to 2925 of the family's 2925-position model. The record is from RNAcentral. Lineage: Bacteria; Bacillati; Bacillota; Clostridia; Eubacteriales; Clostridiaceae.
AUGAGAUAUCCCAUAACGUCAAGUUAGUAAGACCCCUUGAAGACGACGAGGUAGAUAGGACAGAGGUGGAAGUGUGGCAACACAUGGAGCUGACUGUUACUAAUAGGUCGAGGGCAUAACCAA